RNAcentral lists this ribosomal RNA (253 nucleotides) under uncultured bacterium. RNAcentral describes it as "partial 16S ribosomal RNA". It matches the Rfam family "Bacterial small subunit ribosomal RNA", at positions 524 to 776 of the family's 1533-position model. The record is from RNAcentral.
UACGUAGGCAGCAAGCGUUGUUCGGAAUUACUGGGCGUAAAGAGUGUGUAGGCGGUGCCGUAAGUUUGGCGUGAAAUCUCCCGGCUUAACUGGGAGGGUGCGCCGAAGACUGCGGUGCUUGAGGGUUGGAGAGGAAAGUGGAAUUUCUGGUGUAGCGGUGAAAUGCGUAGAUACCUGGAGGAACACCGGUGGCGAAGGCGGCAUCCUGGACCAAUAUUGACGCUGAGGAGCGAAAGCCAGGGGAGCAAACGGG